AGCGGUUGUGCUUGACCGUGCAGUUUUGGGCACAGUCUUGCACCUUUCUCGGUGUCACCCGGCCCUCCCCUCCCUGCAGGAGGAUUUCAGUUUCUCAUUGAGCUUCCUGGUGUUUUUCAGGAAAGGAAGACGGGGAAUAAACAAGCCUUACAUUUCUAAGGGUCUACUUCUCCCUUUGCCUCUGAGGCUGAGACGUGCCACUGACAUUUCUCUGCCUCGCCAGGGCAUAGUGAUCCAUGCAGAAGCUGCUCACAGGGGCUCGCAGCUCUUUGCAAACAGCACCAUGUCUCUGUUGCAGGCUGCCCUGCAGAACCUCCUCUUGAGCAGAGACACCUUUCAAGGUUACUCCUCGAGGUCAAGAGAUUCCUUACCUGCGACAGAUCCUUGUGAAGCUUCCCACCAUCACUGAAGGAGCACUUCAUCUUUCAAUGAGAUGAAAAAGAGUAUCAGUGGGAGUGACUGAUCAUGGUCUUGUUUCAUGCAGUGGCAACUUUCAAGCGGAAGGUUAAAGCAGCUCAUGAAAGAUUGUACUGGCCCUUAAAAAUUUUGCUAUGAGUAAUCAUCUGGGAACAUAGCUUAUUUAUGUGACCUCUUUGAUAUGCCACAGAUCAGGAAAUCUCAGGGAUAUCUGUUUUACGUCAGUCUAGAUCAACAGGCGACCACACAUCUCCAACAUAUGCUGAGUUUCUACACCAAACUCAGCAUACUUCACGUAAAGUCUUUCUCAGCCUGGAUGUUGCUGGCAAAAACAACCGUCUGCUAUUUUACUUUCUGAAAGGACGAUCCUUGGUGUAGACCAGUGUGCUAGGAAGACAGCCCGUGGUAACUCUUCUCAUGCAAAGUUUUUAAGGCCAUUGCCAAGCACAGAGAAGCCAGGGCUCAUGUCAGAGCCACAGCGCCCAGCUCGCACCUUCCUGGGAGCGCGGCUGGGAGCAGCAGAGCUGAACUUGCCUACAGCUGUCCCCAUUUCCUAGGAAUGGCCAAACACAGCUGGCUUCGUGGUGGUAAGGGAUGAAAUCAUGAAUAGCUGUCGUUUUGCCACAGUCUGUCUUCUUUUUAGCCUCUCCGUCCUUCCUAUAGCUGCAAAAUCCAUGACUUCCAAGAACAUAUAUUGGUCUGAGCUAUAGGAAAGCCCAGCUGGCAAAGGCAGCAGAGGCAGGGUUUCGCGUCUUCGCUGUUCCAGCCUGAGGGGGCUGUUAGUUGUCCAGACUGAGGUGCUCUGGGCUGAGCCCUUUUUAAUUCUUUUGAACGAAAAAAAACCAAACCAACAAACAAACAAGCCCACUUUUCUCCUAUGUGGCUUUCAAUGCUUUUGAACUAAAAGAUCUCUCACUUUUUCUGUGCGGCUUUUAGAAAAACACAAACCGUUCCCAACUGCGGUUCCACUAUCACAAGUUUGAACGUACUCAGUGGCUGCAAAAGGAUUAGAAGGGAAAGCGCUAACUGUGAAAAUAUUAGAAAAUAUUUGGCUGUUUUUACCAUACGUUUGGAAGGUCAAGGAGCCUCCCUGCUCUGCAGCUGAAGUCUAAGCUGCUCCGACGCAAAAUGUUUCCUCUUCGGCGAGCAGAAACAUCGCCAGACUCUGGGCUGCUGCCUUUUCCUUCCCCUCCGAUAGGCACUGUAAACCACGCGGCUGCUCAUAACUCUCUCAGGCCUUCUGCGUUGCUCAUUUUUCUUGCGAAGAUCAUUUUAAAUCCAGAUUAGCGUCGCAACCCAGCUCACGCUGCAGCUCUACAGCCACAACUGCGAAGCAGCAAGGGCAAACGGCUGCAGGAAGAGGAGGUGGCAGAGCGACGCCAGCAGCGGGCCACGGAGAGAAAUGCCUCCAGCGAUGUCUCUGGAAGGCGCGAUGAUUUUGCAAGCGGCUUGUUCUGGAGUGACGGCCGGCAGCCGUGCCGAAGAUACCCGCAGUUCCAAAACGGUUGCGUGCGGGGACGAGAAAACCUCGUGCCCUCCGUGAGGUAAAGACAGGCCUGAAAAAUUAUGCUUAUGGGGGAGAGAGGAGGAGAAGAGAGAGCGAUAGCUGUGUUUGUUCCUUCAGGUUUCUGCUUGGCCUUGCUAUGUUUAGACUAGACCGGACGGUACGAGGGGUGUUCUGUAUCUCAGGGUGCCUUGGGAAGUGGGAGUGCCCGUUGUGAGCCUUCAAAACUCCUCCCGGCCAGGGUUUCCGGACAUACAUUUGAUGCUUUUGACCCAGGCGGUGCUGCGCUGUAGCCUGACUGAGGUGUAAGCACAGGUCUUUUUUGAUCAGUUGUUUUGCCCUGGGCUUUUUUGGCUUUUUUGGUUUUUUUUUUUGCUUUUGCUAGCAGGGUCUAAUCAGACAAGGAGCUGAGGGAAAAACAAACUUCUUUAAGCGCUGGGAGACCUCUGCCCUUUUACCGCUGAAACAGGAAAGUCCCUCACUGCUCUGAUAGCGAAGCUGGAGAAAACAAAACACAAUGUUCCUCGUACUUCUAAGCAGUUGCUGGAAGGAAAAUUGCUCAGUUCUGAUAUGAAACUAUUCAUCUUACAUGGAAUGCUUGAAAAAUGGUGGCAUCUCUGCUUGGUGGUUGGAGAAAUACCAAGCUGGGACCUUGUUAUAGCCUCUUUGAUUGCCUUUAUCCCUUGUAAGGAGGCAAAAAGGGAACCAACCAAUUGUUUCUUAUAAAGCCUAUAAAAAACAUGAGAUCUACCACAUAAUUUCUGUAAACUGCUUAUUGUUUUCUGUACUAAAGAAGUUUAAUGAUCCCUUUGUCUUAACCUGUUUUCUUUUUCCCCUGGGCUAGAAAGAAAAUUCUUUGAAUGAAUGGAGAGGAAGGAAACAAAGCAGGGCGUGCGAUCACUUGCAGCUGUCCAGUUUUGCAAUGACAAGCAGACGUUAAUAUAGUAGGUUAGUCCCAGCAUUCACAUGUGAAAGCUCCAUUGUCUUUUUGCUGUAUCCUGAUGGAUUCUGCACGUUUUUAUCUGAGCAAAACUCUCACUGCUGUUUGCUAUGAGAGCUUUUUUGGGCGAGGAUUGACCAGAAGAUCAAAUGCACAGUUCCCAGCCUUUCCGGAAGGAGUGCUGCCUCUGAGACCCUCUCCGUGUCUCUGACAGUCAUUCUGCAGCACUCAUCCCCAAAUAAAGCAGAACGGUGCAAGACA
Long non-coding RNA from Struthio camelus australis, 3122 nucleotides. The record is from Ensembl. NCBI's taxonomy places the organism in Eukaryota, Metazoa, Chordata, Aves, Struthioniformes, Struthionidae.